This 253-nucleotide ribosomal RNA is filed under the name uncultured bacterium. RNAcentral's name for it is "partial 16S ribosomal RNA". It matches the Rfam family "Bacterial small subunit ribosomal RNA", at positions 524 to 776 of the family's 1533-position model. The record is from RNAcentral.
UACGGAGGGUGCAAACGUUGCUCGGAAUCAUUGGGCGUAAAGCGCACGUAGGCGGCUUCUUAAGUCGGGUGUGAAAGCCCUCGGCUCAACCGAGGAAGUGCAUUCGAAACUGGGGGGCUUGAAUACUGGAGAGGAUGGCGGAAUUCCCGGUGUAGAGGUGAAAUUCGUAGAUAUCGGGAGGAACACCAGCGGCGAAGGCGGCCAUCUGGACAGAUACUGACGCUGAGGUGCGAAAGCGUGGGGAGCAAACAGG